CCCUUAGACGUUCUGGGCCGCACGCGCGCUACACUGACCAGUGCAACAAGCAUCCGUCCUUGGCCGACAGGCUCGGGCAAUCUUUGAACGCUGGUCGUGAUGGGGAUAGACUUUUGCAAUUUUUGGUCUUCAACGAGGAAUUCCUAGUAAACGCAAGUCAUCAACUUGCAUUGAUUACGUCCCUGCCCUUUGUACACACCGCCCGUCGCACCUACCGAUUGAAUGGUCCGGUGAAGCCUCUGGAUUGGCGCGCACCUCGGUGCCGCCGAGAAGUUGGCUAAACCUUACCAUUUAGAGGAAGGUGAAGUCGUAACA
RNAcentral lists this ribosomal RNA (315 nucleotides) under uncultured eukaryote. RNAcentral's name for it is "partial 18S ribosomal RNA". It matches the Rfam family "Eukaryotic small subunit ribosomal RNA", at positions 1470 to 1796 of the family's 1831-position model. The record is from RNAcentral.